RNAcentral lists this ribosomal RNA (476 nucleotides) under uncultured bacterium. RNAcentral describes it as "partial 16S ribosomal RNA". It matches the Rfam family "Bacterial small subunit ribosomal RNA", at positions 28 to 523 of the family's 1533-position model. The record is from RNAcentral.
GAUAAACGCUGGCGGCGUGCAUGAGACAUGCAAGUCGAACGGACGACUCGGGCUUGCCCGAGUCGUUAGUGGCGGACGGCUGAGUAACGCGUGGGUGACCUGUCCCGAAGUGGGGAAUAACUGCCCGAAAGGGUGGCUAAUACCGCAUAUGUUCGUGCGUUCGUUUGUACGAACAAAGCCGCAAGGCGCUUCGGGAGGGGCCUGCGUCCGAUUAGCUCGUUGGUGGGGUAACGGCUCACCAAGGCGACGAUCGGUAGGUGGUCUGAGAGGACGAUCACCCAGACUGGGACUGAGACACGGCCCAGACUCCUACGGGAGGCAGCAGUCGGGAAUUUUGCUCAAUGGGCGCAAGCCUGAAGCAGCAACGCCGCGUGAGGGAUGAAGGCCUUCGGGUUGUAAACCUCUUUUUCCAGGGACGAUAAUGACGGUACCUGGAGAAUAAGCCACGGCUAACUACGUGCCAGCCGCCGCGGUAA